CCUACGGGAGGCAGCAGUGAGGGAUAUUGCGCAAUGGGCGAAAGCCUGACGCAGCGACGCCGCGUGGGCGAGGAAGGCCUUCGGGUUGUAAAGCCCUUUUGGCAGGGAAGAGCAAGGACUGUACCUGCAGAACAAGUCACGGCUAACUACGUGCCAGCAGCCGCGGUAAUACGGAGGGUGCGAGCGUUGUUCGGAAUUAUUGGGCGUAAAGCGCGUGUAGGCGGUUUGUUAAGUCUGAUGUGAAAGCCCCGGGCUAAACCGGGAAAGUGCAUUGGAUACUGGCAGACUAGAGUACGGGAGAGGAGAGUGAAAUUCCCAGUGUAGGAGUAAAAUCCGUAGAUAUUGGGAGGAACACCGGUGGCGAAGGCGGCUCUCGGGACCGAUACU
This 387-nucleotide ribosomal RNA is filed under the name uncultured bacterium. RNAcentral's name for it is "partial 16S ribosomal RNA". It matches the Rfam family "Bacterial small subunit ribosomal RNA", at positions 338 to 741 of the family's 1533-position model. The record is from RNAcentral.